CAGACGGACGAACGGACGGACAGACGAACGGACGCACAGACCAGAAAACAUAAUGCCCCUCUAAUAUUGUAGGUGGGGCAUAAAAAUGGCUUAUUAAUUUCCAAGUCAUUAGACCAUGACCUAGGAGGCAGGGCCUCAUAAUUGUCAUCAAACUGAUAUGUACUGAUAGUAAUGCAUUGUUAUAUAAAACAUCAAUGAUCUAUCACCAGUAGUUUCUAUCAAACUUAACAAUUAUUGACGCUGUCACCAGAAAAGAAUUUCUAUAUGUCUUGCUUUCUGAAACUUUCUUCAAAGGCAAGAAAAAAAACACA
This 311-nucleotide long non-coding RNA is filed under the name Mytilus galloprovincialis (Mediterranean mussel). The record is from RNAcentral. Lineage: Eukaryota; Metazoa; Mollusca; Bivalvia; Mytilida; Mytilidae.